Molecule: long non-coding RNA, 391 nt
Organism: Daphnia pulex (common water flea)
Lineage: Eukaryota; Metazoa; Arthropoda; Branchiopoda; Diplostraca; Daphniidae
Exons: 3
Source: RefSeq, a predicted model, not a curated record
AUCAAAGGAUGAUUUUUGAAGUGAUGAUACAACAAUGCUGAAUUAUCGUCCUAUAAUUCUUGAAAGUUGAAACUAGAUUAGUUUCAAAUGCCAGAAGAUCGGCAAGGCUGAGACUAGCAAACUCGAAUAUUUUUGUUGGACUUAAAGUUGAGCUAACCUCCCCAUUACCUGAUAAGCCCCAAGAAGGAAGACUGGAGUUCUUUGUGGAUGGCUCUGCAAAUGCAACACCAGAAUUUCAAGGAAGAGGCGGAUAACAUCUGGAAAAAGGAAUUUUGCAAAUUCAUACAAAGAUCCUAUGCUUCAGCUGAUGUGAUAUUUCCACCAAUCAACAAUUUCUCAUGAAACAUUUUAAUGGCGUUAAAAUAGAUCAUGAGUGUGAAGGGAACCCUUA